RNAcentral lists this long non-coding RNA (303 nucleotides) under Homo sapiens (human). Its description in RNAcentral is "HSALNT0395547". Lineage: Eukaryota; Metazoa; Chordata; Mammalia; Primates; Hominidae. The record is from RNAcentral.
CAGCAACACGAAGAGGCCCGCGAAGUGGUAGAUGCUCAUCUGCAGGGUCUGGGGGCAACACAGCAGGAGCCCCGCACGGUCACGCCCUGCCCCACCUCUGUAACCGCAAAGACCCGCUUGCCGCAAGGCACCAUCUUGUACCACUUGUCGUGGAGCAGGUCGAUGAAGCCGGAGGACUUGUAGCGGCUGAUGAACUCGGACAGGUUGGAGGAGGUCCCCAGAGACCCCGGCGCCCCGCCUCGCCCAGGUGCCUCUCACCCUCAAUGGCGAAGGGCUUUCCCACGGUCAGCAGUUUGCAGUCGG